GAUGAACGCUGGCGGCGUGCCUAAUACAUGCAAGUCGAGCGAAUGGAUUAAGAGCUUGCUCUUAUGAAGUUAGCGGCGGACGGGUGAGUAACACGUGGGUAACCUGCCCAUAAGACUGGGAUAACUCCGGGAAACCGGGGCUAAUACCGGAUAACAUUUUGAACCGCAUGGUUCGAAAUUGAAAGGCGGCUUCGGCUGUCCCUUAUGGAUGGACCCGCGUCGCAUUAGCUAGUUGGUGAGGUAACGGCUCACCAAGGCAACGAUGCGUAGCCGACCGGAGGGGGUGACCGGCCACACUGGGACGUGGAAACGGCCCAGACUCCUACGGGAGGCAGCAGUAGGGAAUCUGCCGCAAUGGACGAAAGUCUGACGGAGCAACGCCGCGUGAGGGAUGAAGGCUUUCGGGUCGUAAAACUCUGUUGUUAGGGAAGAACAAGUGCUAGUUGAAUAAGCUGGCACCUUGACGGUACCUAACCAGAAAGCCACGGCUAACUACGUGCCAGCAGCCGCCGUAA
RNAcentral lists this ribosomal RNA (515 nucleotides) under uncultured bacterium. RNAcentral's name for it is "partial 16S ribosomal RNA". It matches the Rfam family "Bacterial small subunit ribosomal RNA", at positions 28 to 523 of the family's 1533-position model. The record is from RNAcentral.